GGGAGGAAAGUAUGAAAUUGCAUGGUAUUUCCAAUCGCCACUGUAUGCUUGUAUCUUCAUUAUCAUGUUGUAGCAGGUUUCCACUGUCUUUGAUGACAUGAGAUAACAAAGACUAGAAGGAAUGCAAUUUGGGUGUCUCUGGUUGUAAGUUGGAGUGUUUAUUUUAUUUAUUGAUGUGGUUUAUUUAUUUACUUAUUUAUUUUUGUAAACCAUGAAUGGAGAUUGUUACCGAGGGAUAGAUGUGCAAGUAGGGAGCUCCACUGUUUUAGGGUUUUGAGGUGAGGUGAGUGCGGCACUGACUGUGAAGGUAGUCUACUGCGGAAAACAAUCAAAUGGUAUGUGAGUGCAAUACAGGAAAUGGUUUGG
RNAcentral lists this long non-coding RNA (366 nucleotides) under Physcomitrium patens. Its description in RNAcentral is "long non-coding RNA (PPAT_LNC013305)". The record is from RNAcentral. Lineage: Eukaryota; Viridiplantae; Streptophyta; Bryopsida; Funariales; Funariaceae.